AACCCAAGGUAUUGCAAAUGGGGUGUGUCCAGUCUUUUUUAGUAGCCACUUGGUCAGUGUUUGUGACUAAGUGGCUACUAAAAAAGACUGGACACACCCCAUUUGCAACAACUUAGAUUG
Molecule: non-coding RNA, 120 nt
Organism: Pelobates cultripes (western spadefoot toad)
Lineage: Eukaryota; Metazoa; Chordata; Amphibia; Anura; Pelobatidae
Source: the annotation of a GenBank genome assembly